UUUCCGUAGGUGAACCUGCGGAAGGAUCAUUAAAGAGAAUAUGCCCUUCGGGGUAGAUCUCCCACCCUUUGUUUAUAUUACUUUGUUGCUUUGGCAGGCCCGUCUUCGGACCACCGGCUUCGGCUGGUCAGUGCUUGCCAGAGGACCCAAAACUCUUAUUAUUAAUGUCGUCUGAGUACUAUAUAAUAGUUAAAACUUUCAACAACGGAUCUCUUGGUUCUG
This 222-nucleotide unclassified non-coding RNA is filed under the name plant metagenome. RNAcentral's name for it is "partial contains small subunit ribosomal RNA, internal transcribed spacer 1, and 5.8S ribosomal RNA". The record is from RNAcentral.